GCGAACGGGUGAGUAACACGUGAACAACCUGUCCUCACGUUCCGAAUAAUUGGGAGAAAUCCCUUGUAAUGCGGGCGAGGAUUUAGAUGAGGCAUCUCAUUUAACGGGAACGCGCAAGCGGCGCGAGGAGGGGUUCGCGGUCUAUCAGCUUGUUGGUGGGGUAACGGCCUACCAAGGCGACGACGGAUAGCUGGUCUGAGAGGAUGGUCAGCCACAUUGGAACUGAGAUACUGUCCAGACUCCUACGGGAGGCUGCAGUCGAGAGUCUUGGGCAAUGCACGAAAGUGUGACCCAGCGACGCCGCGUGAUGGAUGAAGGCCCUCUGGGUCGUAAACAUCUUUUAUGGGGAAAGAAAAAAAUGACGGUACCUAAGGAAUAAGCAUCGGCUAACUCCGUGCCAGCAGCUGCGGUAAUACGGAGGAUGCAAGCGUUAUCCGGAAUGAUUGGGCGUAAAGCGUCCGCAGG
RNAcentral lists this ribosomal RNA (465 nucleotides) under uncultured bacterium. Its description in RNAcentral is "bacterial SSU rRNA". It matches the Rfam family "Bacterial small subunit ribosomal RNA", at positions 98 to 575 of the family's 1533-position model. The record is from RNAcentral.